This 720-nucleotide ribosomal RNA is filed under the name actinobacterium SCGC AAA043-A09. Its description in RNAcentral is "bacterial SSU rRNA". It matches the Rfam family "Bacterial small subunit ribosomal RNA", at positions 61 to 794 of the family's 1533-position model. The record is from RNAcentral. Lineage: Bacteria; Bacillati; Actinomycetota; Actinomycetes.
GUCGAGCGAUGAAACACCUUCGGGUGUGAAUUAGCGGCGAACGGGUGAGGAACACGUGAAGAAUCUGCCUUCAACUCUGGGAUAACUCCGGGAAACCGGGGCUAAUACCGGAUAUGAGCCUUGAUCGCAUGAUCGGGGCUGGAAAGUUUUUCGGUUGAAGAUGACUUCGCGGCCUAUCAGCUUGUUGGUGAGGUAAUGGCUCACCAAGGCGACGACGGGUAGCCGGCCUGAGAGGGCGACCGGCCACACUGGGACUGAGACACGGCCCAGACUCCUACGGGAGGCAGCAGUGGGGAAUAUUGGGCAAUGGAGGAAACUCUGACCCAGCGACGCCGCGUGAGGGAUGAAGGCCUUCGGGUUGUAAACCUCUUUCAGUAGGGAAGAAGCGAAAGUGACGGUACCUACAGAAGAAGCACCGGCUAACUAUGUGCCAGCAGCCGCGGUAAUACAUAGGGUGCAAGCGUUGUCCGGAAUUAUUGGGCGUAAAGAGCUCGUAGGUGGUUCGAUACGUCGGAUGUGAAAAUCAGGGGCUCAACCCCUGACCUGCAUCCGAUACGGUCGAGCUAGAGUUUGGUAGGGGAGACUGGAAUUCCUGGUGUAGCGGUGGAAUGCGCAGAUAUCAGGGAGGAACACCCGAUGGCGAAGGCAGGUCUCUGGGCCAAUACUGACACUGAGGAGCGAAAGCGUGGGGGAGCGAACAGGAUUAGAUACCCUGGUAGU